This 253-nucleotide ribosomal RNA is filed under the name uncultured bacterium. RNAcentral's name for it is "partial 16S ribosomal RNA". It matches the Rfam family "Bacterial small subunit ribosomal RNA", at positions 524 to 776 of the family's 1533-position model. The record is from RNAcentral.
UACGUAGGGCGCAAGCGUUAUCCGGAAUUAUUGGGCGUAAAGAGCUCGUAGGCGGUUUGUCGCGUCUGCCGUGAAAGUCCGGGGCUCAACUCCGGAUCUGCGGUGGGUACGGGCAGACUAGAGUGAUGUAGGGGAGACUGGAAUUCCUGGUGUAGCGGUGAAAUGCGCAGAUAUCACGAGGAACACCGAUGGCGAAGGCAGGUCUCUGGGCAUUAACUGACGCUGAGGAGCGAAAGCAUGGGGAGCUAACAGG